This 1004-nucleotide ribosomal RNA is filed under the name Isoptericola halotolerans. RNAcentral's name for it is "bacterial SSU rRNA". It matches the Rfam family "Bacterial small subunit ribosomal RNA", at positions 85 to 1096 of the family's 1533-position model. Lineage: Bacteria; Bacillati; Actinomycetota; Actinomycetes; Micrococcales; Promicromonosporaceae. The record is from RNAcentral.
GGGUGGAUCAGUGGCGAACGGGUGAGUAACACGUGAGCAACCUGCCCUCCACUUCGGGAUAAGCCUUGGAAACGAGGUCUAAUACCGGAUAUGAGCGCCUGCCGCAUGGUGGGUGUUGGAAAGUUUUUCGGUGGGGGAUGGGCUCGCGGCCUAUCAGCUUGUUGGUGGGGUGAUGGCCUACCAAGGCGUCGACGGGUAGCCGGCCUGAGAGGGCGACCGGCCACACUGGGACUGAGACACGGCCCAGACUCCUACGGGAGGCAGCAGUGGGGAAUAUUGCACAAUGGGCGAAAGCCUGAUGCAGCGACGCCGCGUGAGGGAUGACGGCCUUCGGGUUGUAAACCUCUUUCAGCAGGGAAGAAGGCUUCGGUUGACGGUACCUGCAGAAGAAGCGCCGGCUAACUACGUGCCAGCAGCCGCGGUAAUACGUAGGGCGCAAGCGUUGUCCGGAAUUAUUGGGCGUAAAGAGCUCGUAGGCGGUUUGUCACGUCUGGUGUGAAAACCCGAGGCUCAACCUCGGGCUUGCAUCGGGUACGGGCAGACUAGAGUGCGGUAGGGGAGACUGGAAUUCCUGGUGUAGCGGUGGAAUGCGCAGAUAUCAGGAGGAACACCGAUGGCGAAGGCAGGUCUCUGGGCCGCAACUGACGCUGAGGAGCGAAAGCAUGGGGAGCGAACAGGAUUAGAUACCCUGGUAGUCCAUGCCGUAAACGUUGGGCACUAGGUGUGGGGCUCAUUCCACGAGUUCCGUGCCGCAGCUAACGCAUUAAGUGCCCCGCCUGGGGAGUACGGCCGCAAGGCUAAAACUCAAAGGAAUUGACGGGGGCCCGCACAAGCGGCGGAGCAUGCGGAUUAAUUCGAUGCAACGCGAAGAACCUUACCAAGGCUUGACAUGCACCGGACGCUGCCAGAAGAUGGUGGUUCCGCAAGGUCGGUGCACAGGUGGGUGCAUGGGUUGUCGUCAGCUUCGUGUCGUGGAGAUGUUGGGGUUAAGUCCCCGCAACGAG